GGGGGAAUAUUGCACAAUGGGCGCAAGCCUGAUGCAGCCAUGCCGCGUGUAUGAAGAAGGCCUGCGGGUUGUAAAGUACUUUCAGUCGGGAGGAAGGUGGUAAGGUUAAUAACCUUAUCAAUUGACGUUACCCGCAGAAGAAGCACCGGCUAACUCCGUGCCAGCAGCCGCGGUAAUACGGAGGGUGCAAGCGUUAAUCGGAAUUACUGGGCGUAAAGCGCACGCAGGCGGUUUGUUAAGUCAGAUGUGAAAUCCCCGGGCGCAACCUGGGAACUACAUCUGAUACUGGCAAGCUUGAGUCUCGUAGAGGGGGGUAGAAUUCCAGGUGUAGCGGUGAAAUGCGUAGAGAGCUGGAGGAAUACCGGUGGCGAAGGCGGCCCCCUGGACGAAGACUGACGCUCAGGUGCGAAAGCGUGGGGAGCAAACAGG
RNAcentral lists this ribosomal RNA (429 nucleotides) under Chloroflexota bacterium. Its description in RNAcentral is "Chloroflexi bacterium partial 16S ribosomal RNA". It matches the Rfam family "Bacterial small subunit ribosomal RNA", at positions 355 to 776 of the family's 1533-position model. Lineage: Bacteria; Bacillati; Chloroflexota. The record is from RNAcentral.